AAAGUUUGACAGACAAUCGCUGGCGGCUUUGGCCGCGAGAGGAAAGUCCGGGCUCCACAGGGCAGGAUGCUGGAUAACGUCCAGUCAGCGCGAGCUGAAGGAUAGUGCCACAGAAACGGACCGCCGAUGGCCGGCAUGCCGGCACAGGCAAGGGUGGAACCGUGGUGUAAGAGACCACGAGGAGCAUUGGUGACAAUGUUCCUGGUAAACCCCAUCCGGAGCAAGACCUAAGAGGACAUCGCGGCGGCUUUGCCGCUGCAACCCUGGCCCGGGGUAUGUCCGGGUUGGUCGCUUGAGCCGUUCAGCAAUGGACGGCCUAGAUAGAUGAUUGUCGCUUCAAUGGUGGGAGGGUCGUUCCCGUUCGCACCACCGGAAGUACAGAACCCGGCUUAUGGCAAACUUUCCGA
RNAcentral lists this RNase P RNA (407 nucleotides) under Paenibacillus cisolokensis. Its description in RNAcentral is "RNase P RNA component class A". It matches the Rfam family "Bacterial RNase P class A". From Rfam's summary of the family: Ribonuclease P (RNase P) is a ubiquitous endoribonuclease, found in archaea, bacteria and eukarya as well as chloroplasts and mitochondria. The record is from RNAcentral. Lineage: Bacteria; Bacillati; Bacillota; Bacilli; Caryophanales; Paenibacillaceae. RNAcentral also lists the same sequence under 1 other name.